GCUCUCCGUUAUUGGUAGAGGAUGCUUGGUGAGCGAUAGUAAUGGGUGAACGUCGCGUCGAUCAUUUCAGGAGGCGUAGGCUGCAUCGGACACUUCGGUUAGAACGCCUGCGAGCACAAGUUAACAAGUUAACGUCUUUUUUUAACUGGAAACAGUAUCCUAGCCAUGUGUAAGGGUAUGGAGAGGGAAGAGCCUCUUGGAUCUUUUUUAUCCAACCCAAUUAAAGCCAUAUGCCUGAGAGCACAAAGCCUAGGUAUUGGCACCGCGGGGGCUCGGGCCCCGGGCCUAAUGAGCAACAGGCAUCCGGGCAGCGUCCGUCUAAUAAGCCA
Clupea harengus (Atlantic herring) is the source of this 329-nucleotide long non-coding RNA. Lineage: Eukaryota; Metazoa; Chordata; Actinopteri; Clupeiformes; Clupeidae. The record is from Ensembl.